Molecule: ribosomal RNA, 497 nt
Filed under: uncultured bacterium
Lineage: Bacteria
Description: partial 16S ribosomal RNA
Rfam family: Bacterial small subunit ribosomal RNA
Source: RNAcentral
GAUGAACGCUGGCGGCGUGCCUAAUACAUGCAAGUCGAGCGAACAGAUGAGGAGCUUGCUCCUCUGACGUUAGCGGCGGACGGGUGAGUAACACGUGGAUAACCUACCUAUAAGACUGAGAUACCUUCGGGAAACCGGAGCUAACACCGGAUAAUAUAUUGAACCGCAUGGUUCAAUAGUGAAAGCCGGUUUUGCUGUCACUAAUAGAUGGUUCCAGGCCGCAUUAGCUAGUUGGUACGGUAACGGCUUACCAAGGCAACGAUGCGUAGCCGACCUGAGAGGAUGAUCGGCCACACUGGAACUGAGACACGGUCCAGACUCCUACGGGAGGCAGCAGUAGGGAAUCUUCCGCAAUGGGCGAAAGCCUGACGGAGCAACGCCGCGUGAGUGAUGAAGGUCUUCGGAUCGUAAAACUCUGUUAUUAGGGAAGAACAAAUGUGUAAGUAACUAUGCACGUCUUGACGGUACCUAAUCAGAAAGCCACGGCUAACUACGUG